AUCUAUAGCCAUACCACCCUGAACAUGCCCGAUCUUGUCUGAUCUCGGAAGCUAAGCAGGGUCGGGACUGGUUAGUACUUGGAUGGGAGAAGGCACGUGGAAAGCUGAUCGGCAGAAU
RNAcentral lists this ribosomal RNA (118 nucleotides) under Camelus bactrianus (Bactrian camel). Lineage: Eukaryota; Metazoa; Chordata; Mammalia; Artiodactyla; Camelidae. The record is from RNAcentral. RNAcentral also lists the same sequence under 2 other names.